UCAAGUAUGCAAUUUAUGAUGUCUUUAUAUGGAGAAAAAUGUGUGCAAUUGUUCUUCAAAACCACUGUUAAACAAAAGCUAAGUUUGGUGAAUAAUUUUAGUUUGAAAUUAUUCACAGAACUGAAACACUUACAUAACAUUGCAAUGUCCUGAUAUAGUUUAAAUCCUUAAUGGAUUACUUUGAAAAUCAAAGCCCAUAACUACUCUUGCACCACUCCCUGGGAAGGGGGGCAAUCCAGUUUUGAACAAUUUGCCUCUUACUUAAGUUUCACCAGGCAUCAAGCCUCCUUUCAUGCUGUCUUACUUAAUGUAUGCUGCUGCAGAACUGCCAUUCGCAUUAGCAAGACUGUAGCUCUUGUUUUGGGCUGAUGAAACGGCUGUCACCAAAAAUAAAACUUCCAUCUAAUCUGCUUCUAUAUUGUGAUCUGUCUGAAUAUCUUUUUUUUUU
This is a non-coding RNA of Pelobates cultripes (western spadefoot toad), 448 nucleotides long. Lineage: Eukaryota; Metazoa; Chordata; Amphibia; Anura; Pelobatidae. The record is from the annotation of a GenBank genome assembly.